RNAcentral lists this ribosomal RNA (211 nucleotides) under Vibrio parahaemolyticus. RNAcentral's name for it is "partial 16S ribosomal RNA". It matches the Rfam family "Bacterial small subunit ribosomal RNA", at positions 1332 to 1533 of the family's 1533-position model. The record is from RNAcentral. Lineage: Bacteria; Pseudomonadati; Pseudomonadota; Gammaproteobacteria; Vibrionales; Vibrionaceae.
UCGCUAGUAAUCGUGGAUCAGAAUGCCACGGUGAAUACGUUCCCGGGCCUUGUACACACCGCCCGUCACACCAUGGGAGUGGGCUGCAAAAGAAGUAGGUAGUUUAACCUUCGGGGGGACGCUUACCACUUUGUGGUUCAUGACUGGGGUGAAGUCGUAACAAGGUAGCGCUAGGGGAACCUGGCGCUGGAUCACCUCCUUAAACGAUGAU